GAUGAACGCUAGCGGCAGGCCUAACACAUGCAAGUCGAGGGGGAAGUUACUUUCGGGUGACUGAGACCGGCGUACGGGUGCGUAACGCGUAUACAAUCUGCCUUUCACUGGGGGAUAGCCCGAAGAAAUUUGGAUUAAUACCCCAUAGUACAUAGGGACGGCAUCGUUUUUAUAUUAAAGCUUAGGUGGUGAAAGAUGAGUAUGCGUUCUAUUAGCUAGUUGGAGAGGUAACGGCCCCCCAAGGCGAUGAUAGAUAGGGGUUCUGAGAGGGAUGUCCCCCACACUGGUACUGGGAUACGGACCAGACUCCUACGGGAGGCAGCAGUGAGGAAUAUUGGACAAUGGUCGGAAGACUGAUCCAGCCAUGCCGCGUGCAGGAUGAAGGUCUUAUGGAUUGUAAACUGCUUUUGUAAGGGAAGAAUAAGGGCUACGCGUAGUUUGAUGACGGUACCUUACGAAUAAGCAUCGGCUAACUCCGUG
RNAcentral lists this ribosomal RNA (480 nucleotides) under uncultured bacterium. Its description in RNAcentral is "partial 16S ribosomal RNA". It matches the Rfam family "Bacterial small subunit ribosomal RNA", at positions 28 to 507 of the family's 1533-position model. The record is from RNAcentral.